Molecule: ribosomal RNA, 2586 nt
Filed under: Escherichia coli
Lineage: Bacteria; Pseudomonadati; Pseudomonadota; Gammaproteobacteria; Enterobacterales; Enterobacteriaceae
Description: 23S ribosomal RNA
Rfam family: Bacterial large subunit ribosomal RNA
Source: RNAcentral
CGAUACAGGGUGACAGCCCCGUACACAAAAAUGCACAUAUUGUGAGCUCGAUGAGUAGGGCGGGACACGUGGUAUCCUGUCUGAAUAUGGGGGGACCAUCCUCCAAGGCUAAAUACUCCUGACUGACCGAUAGUGAACCAGUACCGUGAGGGAAAGGCGAAAAGAACCCCGGCGAGGGGAGUGAAAAAGAACCUGAAACCGUGUACGUACAAGCAGUGGGAGCCUCUUUAUGGGGUGACUGCGUACCUUUUGUAUAAUGGGUCAGCGACUUAUAUUCUGUAGCAAGGUUAACCGAAUAGGGGAGCCGAAGGGAAACCGAGUCUUAACUGGGCGUUAAGUUGCAGGGUAUAGACCCGAAACCCGGUGAUCUAGCCAUGGGCAGGUUGAAGGUUGGGUAACACUAACUGGAGGACCGAACCGACUAAUGUUGAAAAAUUAGCGGAUGACUUGUGGCUGGGGGUGAAAGGCCAAUCAAACCGGGAGAUAGCUGGUUCUCCCCGAAAGCUAUUUAGGUAGCGCCUCGUGAAUUCAUCUCCGGGGGUAGAGCACUGUUUCGGCAAGGGGGUCAUCCCGACUUACCAACCCGAUGCAAACUGCGAAUACCGGAGAAUGUUAUCACGGGAGACACACGGCGGGUGCUAACGUCCGUCGUGAAGAGGGAAACAACCCAGACCGCCAGCUAAGGUCCCAAAGUCAUGGUUAAGUGGGAAACGAUGUGGGAAGGCCCAGACAGCCAGGAUGUUGGCUUAGAAGCAGCCAUCAUUUAAAGAAAGCGUAAUAGCUCACUGGUCGAGUCGGCCUGCGCGGAAGAUGUAACGGGGCUAAACCAUGCACCGAAGCUGCGGCAGCGACACUAUGUGUUGUUGGGUAGGGGAGCGUUCUGUAAGCCUGUGAAGGUGGCCUGUGAGGGUUGCUGGAGGUAUCAGAAGUGCGAAUGCUGACAUAAGUAACGAUAAAGCGGGUGAAAAGCCCGCUCGCCGGAAGACCAAGGGUUCCUGUCCAACGUUAAUCGGGGCAGGGUGAGUCGACCCCUAAGGCGAGGCCGAAAGGCGUAGUCGAUGGGAAACAGGUUAAUAUUCCUGUACUUGGUGUUACUGCGAAGGGGGGACGGAGAAGGCUAUGUUGGCCGGGCGACGGUUGUCCCGGUUUAAGCGUGUAGGCUGGUUUUCCAGGCAAAUCCGGAAAACCAAGGCUGAGGCGUGAUGACGAGGCACUACGGUGCUGAAGCGACAAAUGCCCUGCUUCCAGGAAAAGCCUCUAAGCAUCAGGUAACAUCAAAUCGUACCCCAAACCGACACAGGUGGUCAGGUAGAGAAUACCAAGGCGCUUGAGAGAACUCGGGUGAAGGAACUAGGCAAAAUGGUGCCGUAACUUCGGGAGAAGGCACGCUGAUAUGUAGGUGAAGCGACUUGCUCGUGGAGCUGAAAUCAGUCGAAGAUACCAGCUGGCUGCAACUGUUUAUUAAAAACACAGCACUGUGCAAACACGAAAGUGGACGUAUACGGUGUGACGCCUGCCCGGUGCCGGAAGGUUAAUUGAUGGGGUUAGCGGUAACGCGAAGCUCUUGAUCGAAGCCCCGGUAAACGGCGGCCGUAACUAUAACGGUCCUAAGGUAGCGAAAUUCCUUGUCGGGUAAGUUCCGACCUGCACGAAUGGCGUAAUGAUGGCCAGGCUGUCUCCACCCGAGACUCAGUGAAAUUGAACUCGCUGUGAAGAUGCAGUGUACCCGCGGCAAGACGGAAAGACCCCGUGAACCUUUACUAUAGCUUGACACUGAACAUUGAGCCUUGAUGUGUAGGAUAGGUGGGAGGCUUUGAAGUGUGGACGCCAGUCUGCAUGGAGCCGACCUUGAAAUACCACCCUUUAAUGUUUGAUGUUCUAACGUUGGCCCGUAAUCCGGGUUGCGGACAGUGUCUGGUGGGUAGUUUGACUGGGGCGGUCUCCUCCUAAAGAGUAACGGAGGAGCACGAAGGUUGGCUAAUCCUGGUCGGACAUCAGGAGGUUAGUGCAAUGGCAUAAGCCAGCUUGACUGCGAGCGUGACGGCGCGAGCAGGUGCGAAAGCAGGUCAUAGUGAUCCGGUGGUUCUGAAUGGAAGGGCCAUCGCUCAACGGAUAAAAGGUACUCCGGGGAUAACAGGCUGAUACCGCCCAAGAGUUCAUAUCGACGGCGGUGUUUGGCACCUCGAUGUCGGCUCAUCACAUCCUGGGGCUGAAGUAGGUCCCAAGGGUAUGGCUGUUCGCCAUUUAAAGUGGUACGCGAGCUGGGUUUAGAACGUCGUGAGACAGUUCGGUCCCUAUCUGCCGUGGGCGCUGGAGAACUGAGGGGGGCUGCUCCUAGUACGAGAGGACCGGAGUGGACGCAUCACUGGUGUUCGGGUUGUCAUGCCAAUGGCACUGCCCGGUAGCUAAAUGCGGAAGAGAUAAGUGCUGAAAGCAUCUAAGCACGAAACUUGCCCCGAGAUGAGUUCUCCCUGACUCCUUGAGAGUCCUGAAGGAACGUUGAAGACGACGACGUUGAUAGGCCGGGUGUGUAAGCGCAGCGAUGCGUUGAGCUAACCGGUACUAAUGAACCGUGAGGCUUAACCU